RNAcentral lists this transfer RNA (58 nucleotides) under Plectus acuminatus. RNAcentral describes it as "tRNA-Glu". Lineage: Eukaryota; Metazoa; Nematoda; Chromadorea; Plectida; Plectidae. The record is from RNAcentral.
AAGCUUAUGAUGUAAUUAGUUGCAUGGUGGGUUUUCACUCCACUUGGUCUCAAGUUUA